CGUGUAUAUCCCCAGAGCAGACUGCAAACAUGUUUUUAGAAGUACACAAGAAGACAUCUAUUUCAUAGGUCAAACCAAAGGAAUCUGGCUUUUAUUGUUAAAGGACUCGAGGGAACACAUGUAUUGCUGUCGGCUUCUCUCCACACCCACUCUGUGAGAUGACUACAGGAUCAUUUUAAUCAAGAAUGAAGACUACAUAAUUCAAGCAACAGGGUCAAAAGUCUGAUGUCUGCAGGGAAAGUGCAUUGGUUUAACUUCAGUCAGAUUUUAAAUCUUGGCUUUAAGGCUUGGCUAAAUAAUUAGGUCAAACCAGUGCAACGUUCCCGUGUAACUAAGGCCUUAAAAAAGGAUUUUAAAGAUAAAUAUCUCAGUUAAUUACUUAAGCUACAGUCUGAAACCUAUUGAAGUCAAUGAGACAGGAGAGCAAGCAGCCAACAAGAUACACUCUGAAGUGUCUUUCUGAAUCAGUAGCUUCAUUCUGCUCUAAGGAACAAACCUCCAUUUCAGCGAAAGUCAUCUUAGGAUCAUGGUGCUUUCUUAGAUCUCUGUCAGCCACAAAGCCUACAAGAGAGAGGACAGUGCUAAGGCCUCGCUGCAGGAGAGUGUUGCAGGAAGCUGGAGAGAGCAGAUUCUCAGCUAUACAUUCCAUUACAAAGUCUGACUUAAUUCAUGGAUCAGGAAUGGAAGACCAACUCCCUUGCCUUCAAACCAUGAGGAGUUUGAGAAAGUAGAGUCAACUUCUCACUGUACCAAACUAAAAGAACAGACACAAAUGAAAAACUUCAAUAGUGCAACAAGCUCUGCUCAAAGAAGCUCACCCAGCAGCCCGUUCAAUGCUUUGGCUUUUGUUAAAAGGGAGGUUCUUCAGAGCAAGAGGUUCCAUUACAUGUCUACAUGUUGAGGAGAAGACCCUGGCCAGUGGCCGGCCACCCAUUCAGCCACUCCCUCACUCCCCUUCCUCAUGGGGGCAUGCAGGGGCAGAAAAAUGAUGAAAAAGCUUGUGGACAGAGAUAAAGACAGGGAAAUUACUUACUAAUUACUGUCAAGCAAUUACUUACCAAUUUGUCACUUGGAGAAAAUUAAUUUUUUGCCAAUUGAAAGAGCUUUGGUUUUUUUGAGAAACAAAAUCAAAAACUGAAGGCACGUCUUACCCCCACAUCCUUUCCCACUUCAUUCCUGAUUCCUCUUUCAGUGAAUGGGAGGUGUGACGGGUCCACAACAGUUCCUCUCCACCUCUCCUUUCUCCUCACACUGUUCUCUUGCUCCACCAUGGGCCUCUUCAAUGGGCUGCAGAUUCAUGCUCUGUCUUGGAGGACCUCAUUACUCUCCUCUUUCUCUGAACUUGGCCUUCACCCCAUUACUUCAUCCUUUUUUUCCCCUUCCUCUGCCUGCCUAGUGCUUUUGCCCAUUCUUUAAUACAUCUUCCCUGAGACACCAGCAAAAAGCCACGUGGGCUCCUGGAGCUUGGCAGCGUCUGCUAGGAUGGCCACUGGUCCAUCACUGGUCAACAAUGAGUGUUGCGCCAUCACUUGUUGUAUGCUUCUGGUUCUAAUGCAAGGGAGCAGAUUUAUAUAUAACGUCACUAUUUCCAACCUCAGAUAUUCAGCAAAUGUAUUUUUUUCCCCAAAUACUUUUCAAUGGCAAAUAUAGAUACCUUUUCGUUUGUAUUUUGACCUCCAAGCCUUGAAUCUUUCUCCAAACACAUAGUCAAGAAACUCAUUUUUCAAAAGUCCUAAGAGUUGAGUUUCUUAUGAGAGUCUGGUCCACUUCAAGGAGAGAAACCUCAGUUUAUGAAAAAUAAUAUUACAACUGUUGUGCUGGCUGAUGUCCUCUACUUUUACAAGAGAACAAUAGAAAAUCAAUUACACUGACAAACCCCCCUUGUGGGGUGAAACUGUGUAGGCUUUCCCAACAGACAUAACAGAUGUUUCUUGAAGAGUGAUUUCUGAAGGUAAGGAAAUAAGGCAUCUUUUCAUGAAUAUUAUAUCUUCAUUUCUGCAGCUACAUAUUGUAAUCCUUCUGCAUUUCCAAGAGUGGUAGGCUUUAUCACAGAGACAAUUGCUUUGUGUUGGACUAAAACCACAGCUUUUUUGCUUAUGGAGUACCAAGCAAUGUGUAGAUGGUGACACUCACCAAAAAUCUCAGCAAACUGACAUUGCAUCAGGUGAAAAACAUUUGUCCUGCUCCUUUCCCCCACCAUGCCACCCUUCUCUGUCUCAUAUUUGUACAUCAAGAAAAAGAUACAGUAUUUGGUAUUUAAAACUUACUUUUGUAGAAGGUUGUAGCAGCACACAUUUUUAGAGAAGUAUUCUGCCAGGUCAGGGGAGGAUUUAUUUUCUGAAUGCCUAAUGCAUAUUUAAAAGCUGAUAAUAGUACAUGACAGCACCAAAAAUGUUAUAUAACUUCUAGAAUGUCUAUUAAAAAAGUAGAGCCUUGCCAUUAAAAAAAAAAGUAGAAGCCUGUGAGAUUCCCACCAUCUGGAUGGAGUCUUUUUUCUUCCCAGAUGAAUUAGUUGUCAAGGGAGGAAUUAUUUUAGGCAUCAAGUAACCCCUGAUUGUGAGUGACAGACUAACACAAGAGCAGAUGCAAGGUUACUGCUGCCUAUCCAUUAUGUGGAAAGGAGACCCAUGCAUGUCCUACUUACUGUGCAUACUGACUUGGGUUAUUAAAAGAGUAACUAGAGGUGGGUCAGACCCAGAAGAUAGCUCAUACGACUCACAACAGAUGUUCUUUCACAGGAGAGAAAACAAACACUGGAUACUUUCUGGGGAUACUGUAGAAGGAGGGGACUUCACUACUUUCAACAAGUCACAAGUACAGAUUCCCAACAGAGGCACAAACCAACUUUUUCAUUCAAAUAACAGUUAUUUGGUAAGCUUUCUUAGAGCCUGAAGUACGCAGAAAUCAUGCUUUGGGAUAACAAACUUACUUGCAAAUCUCCCAUGCAUAACAGUGUCAUGAUAAAUUCAUAUAAAUAGAAUGACUGGUAACAUUUUGAAUGUAAACUAAUAAAUCAUUUUUUAUCAUCUCCUAUUUCAGCUAAUGGAAGUCUUUUUAUUUACAUAAAUAUGGAUAUCUGUAAAUCCCUCUGUUCUUGUAGGCACCA
Molecule: long non-coding RNA, 3106 nt
Filed under: Gallus gallus (chicken)
Lineage: Eukaryota; Metazoa; Chordata; Aves; Galliformes; Phasianidae
Source: RNAcentral